This 935-nucleotide long non-coding RNA is filed under the name Mytilus galloprovincialis (Mediterranean mussel). The record is from RNAcentral. Lineage: Eukaryota; Metazoa; Mollusca; Bivalvia; Mytilida; Mytilidae.
UUCCUGUAAGCUACUUUACAAAAUGACAAAACAAAACAGAUAAUAUAAACAAAGAUCAAUUUAAAGGAGGCACUAGCUACGAAAUUUUAAAAAUAAAAUAUAUAUUUGUUUGGUUGAUUAAUUAAAGAGAAAUGGUGAAAUAAUAACUCGCUUUUAGCAACUAGUAUGGUUUAGCUAAGAGUCAUCACUGAUGCAUUAUUCACUUGCAACUAAAUAUGAUACGGUUGAUACGUUUUUAAAUGACCGACCUGUAUUUGUUAACAUUAAUUAUUAAAUGAAAAAAGAAGGGCUAGCAUAUUUAUUGACAAAAUCAAACCAUGAUUUAUAAUUAAUGUAUUUUUUACUCUUUACAUGAAACACCACUAGUAACCUUUCUUUGGCUAUCUUUGUUUAAACUUUGAUAAGUGAUUAGAUUUUAGUUGCUGGUUUGCAUAUUUCAGUUAAAUGCAUGUGCUAAUAUGGAUCAAACUUGCAAGGUUGAUCGUUUCGUGCAUUGUUAUUACAAAAAAAUAAAAAACCAAUACAUCAUGCUCCUUGUAUGCAGUUUUCAAUAUGGACGGGUAUAAGUUUGUAUAAGUUUGGCUUUCGAACUUUUUUGAUCUGAGCGUCACUGGUUAGUCAAGUGUUGACGAAACGUGCGUCUGGAUAUUGAAUUAUAAACCUGGUACCUUUUGAUAGCUAUUAUUCGUGUGUCUCUCUGUUCUAUAUGUUCUCCCAUUUAUCUGUAUUGUAAUCCUGUCAUGAAAGGUUGUCAUUUUAAUGUUAUAUUUAACAUUGCUAUAAACGCGGGAGGUAUUGCUAGCCACAAAAGCAGGUUCAACCCACCAUUUUUUUUGGUGUUAAAAUGUCCGGACCAAGUCAGGAAAAAGCCAUUGUUAUUUUGUAUUUCAUUAUGGUUGUGUGUGUGUGUGUAACAUGUUAGUGUUGUGUUUCUG